RNAcentral lists this ribosomal RNA (497 nucleotides) under uncultured bacterium. Its description in RNAcentral is "partial 16S ribosomal RNA". It matches the Rfam family "Bacterial small subunit ribosomal RNA", at positions 28 to 507 of the family's 1533-position model. The record is from RNAcentral.
GAUGAACGCUGGCGGCGUGCCUAAUACAUGCAAGUCGAGCGAACAGACGAGGAGCUUGCUCCUCUGACGUUAUCGGCGGACGGGUGAGUAACACGUGGUUAACCUACCUAUAAGACUGGGAUAACUUCGGGAAACCGGAGCUAAUACCGGAUAAUAUAUUGAACCGCAUUGUUCAAUAGUUAAAGACGGUUUUGCUGUCACUUAUAGAUGGAUCCGCGCCGCAUUAGCUAGUUGGUAAGGUAACGGCUUACCAAGGCGACGAUGCGUAACCGACCUGAAGGGGAGGUCGGCCACACGGGAACUGAGAAACGGUCCAGACUCCUACGGGGGGCAGCAGUAGGGAAUCUUCCGCGAUGGGCGAAAGCCUGACAGAGCAACGCCGCGUGAAUGAUGAAGGUCUUCGGAUCGUAGAGCUCUGUUGUUAGGAGAGAACAAAUGUGUAAGUAACUAUGCACGUCUUGACGGUACCUAAUCAGAAAGCCACGGCUAACUACGUG